Molecule: long non-coding RNA, 1089 nt
Filed under: Lathyrus oleraceus (garden pea)
Lineage: Eukaryota; Viridiplantae; Streptophyta; Magnoliopsida; Fabales; Fabaceae
Description: Pisum sativum (pea) long non-coding RNA (PSAT_LNC029552)
Source: RNAcentral
AACAGAAAUAUAUAGAGCAACACUAAAAACUUAUGAUACUAGUUGGGGCAGCUUAUGUAAAACAUUGAGUUCAUGAAAUUUGCCAGAGACAAAUGUCCCAUGUGUGUCAAACAUAGAGCCAUCACCCCUCCUCUGACAGUAUGCAUAAUAUUAUGAACAAUCCAAAGGACUAUUCAUGGUGAUUUGUCUGUUUUAUUUAUUACAAAAGAAACUAAGCUUUAUUGCCACAUUACAUAACUAUAUAUUCCUCAUUCUUUUGGUUUGAUGACAAGCCCCACAUAACUAUAUAUUCCUCAUUCUUUUGGUUUGAUUGCAAUGCCUUUGAUGACAAGCCCCUGCUUCCACAUACCACCAUCAUAUUCAAACAAAGAUAUCUCCAUCUCACCACCAUCUUUCUCACAUGCUACAAACUCACCAACCGGAACCUCUAUCCACCUUCCCCUUAACAUCUCCAUUAAAUUCACCUUGUGUUGCUGCUUCUUUCCUCCUGGAAGAACAAGUCUAACAUUUAUCGGAAGUUCCCAACCCUGAGCCGGAUCUUUCAACAUUACAUAAAAUGAAACUUGAUAUAAAAUUCCUGGUGAAAGCUUUCUAGUGUCAAAUUUUCCAUGCACUUCUAGCCAACAAACUCUCUUCAGUUCAGCUACCUCACUCAUCCCGUCGCUACAAAACAUAUCUUACAUUAAUCACGACUAAAAACUAUGUAACGUAAUAUGAAAUCACUCAUAUGUAUGUGUACCUUGCAUCUUUUUGCUGUAUCCAUUUCCAGUAAAUUGGAUUCUCUGCCCAAGUGAUUGAUAGUGCUCUUGCAUACAACAUAAAACAGUUGGCGUUGGUCUUCUUCUCAACCCAAUAUUUCUACAAACAACGGUAAUCAUUUCUCAAUGCAUAAGUAAUAGUUUCAUUGACAAAUAACUUAUACUAAAAAUAAAAAUUCAUUUUGAAACUUGCCUUAGUUUUAUCAUGUAAGAACACACCAGCAUGUAGUCGAUCAAACAUCUUUUCCUUGAAAGAUCUAUCAACCGGUGAGUCUGCAUCCCUUAAUAUGUGCUCAAAGUUGUGAGGAAAACUUAGUUGUGCUGAUUGAGU